RNAcentral lists this ribosomal RNA (462 nucleotides) under uncultured bacterium. RNAcentral's name for it is "partial 16S ribosomal RNA". It matches the Rfam family "Bacterial small subunit ribosomal RNA", at positions 28 to 507 of the family's 1533-position model. The record is from RNAcentral.
GACGAACGCUGGCGGCGUGCUUAACACAUGCAAGUCGAGCGGUAAGGCCUUUCGGGGUACACGAGCGGCGAACGGGUGAGUAACACGUGGGUGAUCUGCCUUGCACUUCGGGAUAAGCCUGGGAAACUGGGUCUAAUACCGGAUAUGACCUCCUAUCGCAUGGUGGGUGGUGGAAAGAUUUAUCGGUGCAGGAUGGGCCCGCGGCCUAUCAGCUUGUUGGUGGGGUAAUGGCCUACCAAGGCGACGACGGGUAGCCGACCUGAGAGGGUGACCGGCCACACUGGGACUGAGACACGGCCCAGACUCCUACGGGAGGCAGCAGUGGGGAAUAUUGCACAAUGGGCGAAAGCCUGAUGCAGCGACGCCGCGUGAGGGAUGACGGCCUUCGGGUUGUAAACCUCUUUCAGCAGGGACGAAGCGCAAGUGACGGUACCUGCAGAAGAAGCACCGGCUAACUACGUG